RNAcentral lists this long non-coding RNA (246 nucleotides) under Lathyrus oleraceus (garden pea). RNAcentral's name for it is "Pisum sativum (pea) long non-coding RNA (PSAT_LNC007202)". The record is from RNAcentral. Lineage: Eukaryota; Viridiplantae; Streptophyta; Magnoliopsida; Fabales; Fabaceae.
GAUUUUAAUUUCCAUUUUAUUUCUUUUAUUCCAUUUUAUUUCUAAAAUUCAUAUCUCUCUCAUUAUUGGUCCAAAAUUUAUGAGACCAAUUUCAUUAUUCUCCUUUUAAUUUCUACUUUCUAAAAAUGAUUUUUAAUAUUUUUUAUUUUAUCAUUUGAUAUUUUUUAGUAAUUUUCUCUUUUCUGGUUAUUUUUAAUUCAUUCAAAAUAGUUUUUGAUACUCAAAAAAUACAAAAAUAUUUUUCCA